Molecule: long non-coding RNA, 1563 nt
Filed under: Papio anubis (olive baboon)
Lineage: Eukaryota; Metazoa; Chordata; Mammalia; Primates; Cercopithecidae
Description: lncRNA (ENSPANG00000050665.1)
Source: RNAcentral
CUUAUAAACAACAAAUUUAUUUCUCACUGUUCAAAAAGUUGAGGGUCUGAGAUCGGGGUGUCACAAUAGCUGAUUUCUGGUGAGCGCCCUCUUCCAGGCUAUAGACAGAUGACUUCUCAGUGUGUCCUCACAUGGAGGAAGGAAAGAGCAAGCUCUCUGGAUUUUUUUUCUUUUUAUAAGGACACUAAUCUCAUUAAUGAGAUCUCCAUUUCCAUGACCUAAUUAGCUUCCAAAGGUCUACUUCCAAAUACCAUCACACUGGCAAUCAGAUUUCACAUAGGAGUUUUCUGAGGGGAGCACAAUCAUUCAGUCCACAACUGUUAGUAAACCCUGCAGGUUGCCACUGGUAAGAGGAGAAGGUUGCAAACUUUAAACAGGGCCAGACAUACCCAGUGGCCACCCCCUGGCUCCAGCAGGUUGGUGUCAUGUGGAAUGCGGAGAGAGGGUUGCCAGAUAUCCUAAUUUAUGAAGAAAAGCUGGAAAUUCACAUAUUUAUAUCCUUGAUUUUAAAUGUGGGCAAAUAAUUUACAGAGUUAAAGCCCAGUAGGAAAAAAUGCACUGCACUUGCAGGCCUUGGGUUUGUGGCUCUACUCUGCAGGGCUGAGCAUCCCUGAUACAGGGAGAGAAAGGGAGUCCUGGGUGCUGUCUAGAGAGGAAGAAAUUGGAGAGAGUGCUGUGUACAAACAUGAUGGAAAAGGAAGACAGGAAGAAGAAUCAGAAGGAAGAUACAUGAGGCAUGCUUUGAGAGCAGCGGCAAGGGCCACUGACACUCCCCAGCGUUUGUACUUUGGGUUGUAUUUAUGUUUUCUCUCCUACGAAUUAUGCCCAAUAGGAGAGAGUCAAAAAUCUCACUGCUAAAAGUCCCAUGACAACCUCCCUUAUCUUGCCACGAUCCCUCAGAACCACUGCGAGUUAAGGAAACAGGAAGAUCCCUACUCUGAUCACAGGAAAGGCAGAUGCCUUCUAUCUACACUGGCCACCAGAGGAGGACGGAGUGCUGUAGUGUGGGCUGCGGUGGGAGGCAGAUGAGAAGCGGUUGGUCAGAAUCUGCCAUGGUCAGCUGGUGCUGGGAAUGCCAAAGCCGGAAGUCCCUUCCUGUGGCUGACUCACAGACGUCCAGGGCCUGCACUCCAAGCAGCAAUGACUCUAAACACUCAUGGAUUCUGGGCAUUGGACACUAAGAGACGCCCAGGUGGAUUACCUGAGGGUGGCAUCACUUAGCAGGAGUGCUGCAUGGACCUUAUGGCAGUCAGGGUGACAUGGACUUCAUGAAUUAGCUACUGCUGUGCCUGAUGAUUUUCUAGCACAAGUAGCCCCAAGUGAUCUGCAACAGCCAUCGCUUCACAUUGAGAAGGAUUCUUUUUAUUUUCCUUGUCAGCAGCAUCCCCCUGUCUCGGUAAGAGCCCCUAGAUUCAUAAUUAAGAUUGGUGACAGAGCUAAAAUUCUGGAGAUGGGAAAUAUAAAUUCCGCUAGUGGGGAACUGGAGUGGUGGAGAGUGGGGCCACUUCUAAUCUUCUCCUUGUUUUUCAGACACAGCAAUUGUACCUUUGAGGACAUGACACC